CAGACCGUGAGCAUGAUCCAAUCCUCAUCUCGAGAAUACCCUAUCCUCUAGGGUUAUAAUCAUCAUAUAGUCCAUAGGUUUCAUAUACACUAUGACUCACAUAUGUCACUCGUUCUUUUGUUUACUAUCAACUAGAUGCCACUCGUUCUUUACAAGUUUCCAAUGCAAUAGUCAAUACAUUACUAAAUUCCCAUCCACACUUAUCAUCUCAUUAUAGGGUUCCACAUCACAUAUAUAAACCUCA
RNAcentral lists this long non-coding RNA (244 nucleotides) under Ananas comosus (pineapple). Its description in RNAcentral is "long non-coding RNA (ACOM_LNC041275)". Lineage: Eukaryota; Viridiplantae; Streptophyta; Magnoliopsida; Poales; Bromeliaceae. The record is from RNAcentral.